GACGAACCGUGCGAACGUUGUUCGGAAUCACUGGGCUUAAAGGGCGCGUAGGCGGGCUGCCAAGUCAGGGGUGAAAUCUUUCGGCUCAACCGGAAAAGAGCCUUUGAUACUGGCGGUCUCGAGUGGGGUAGGGGCACGCGGAACUUCCGGUGGAGCGGUGAAAUGCGUAGAUAUCGUCUGGAACGCCGAAGGUGAAAACAGCUCGCUGGGAUUGUGCUGACGCUGAGACACGAAAGCCAGGGGAGCGAACGGG
RNAcentral lists this ribosomal RNA (253 nucleotides) under uncultured bacterium. RNAcentral describes it as "partial 16S ribosomal RNA". It matches the Rfam family "Bacterial small subunit ribosomal RNA", at positions 524 to 776 of the family's 1533-position model. The record is from RNAcentral.